AACGAACGCUGGCGGCAUGCCUAACACAUGCAAGUCGAACGAGACCUUCGGGUCUAGUGGCGCACGGGUGCGUAACGCGUGGGAACCUGCCCUUAGGUUCGGAAUAACUCCCCGAAAGGGGUGCUAAUACCGGAUAAUGUCUUCGGCCCAAAGAUUUAUCGCCUUUGGAUGGGCCCGCGUUGGAUUAGCUAGUUGGUAGGGUAAAAGCCUACCAAGGCGACGAUCCAUAGCUGGUCUGAGAGGAUGAUCAGCCACACUGGGACUGAGACACGGCCCAGACUCCUAGGGGAGGCAGCAGUGGGGAAUAUUGGACAAUGGGCGAAAGCCUGAGCCAGCAAUGCCGCGUGAGUGAUGAAGGCCUUAGGGUUGUAAAGCUCUUUUACCCGGGAUGAUAAUGACAGUACCGGGAGAAUAAGCGCCGGCUAACUACGUG
RNAcentral lists this ribosomal RNA (433 nucleotides) under uncultured bacterium. Its description in RNAcentral is "partial 16S ribosomal RNA". It matches the Rfam family "Bacterial small subunit ribosomal RNA", at positions 29 to 507 of the family's 1533-position model. The record is from RNAcentral.